This 208-nucleotide ribosomal RNA is filed under the name uncultured bacterium. Its description in RNAcentral is "partial 16S ribosomal RNA". It matches the Rfam family "Bacterial small subunit ribosomal RNA", at positions 568 to 774 of the family's 1533-position model. The record is from RNAcentral.
UGCGUAGGUGGUGAGGUAAGUCGGAUGUGAAAUCUCGGAGCUUAACUCCGAAAUGGCAUUGGAAACUACCUUGCUCGAGGGUUGGAGGGGGGACGUGGAAUACUUGGUGUAGCAGUGAAAUGCGUAGAUAUCAAGUGGAACACCAGUGGCGAAGGCGAGUCCCUGGACAACUCCUGACACUGAUGCGCGACAGCGUGGGGAGCAAACA